This 509-nucleotide ribosomal RNA is filed under the name uncultured bacterium. Its description in RNAcentral is "bacterial LSU rRNA". It matches the Rfam family "Bacterial large subunit ribosomal RNA", at positions 433 to 937 of the family's 2925-position model. The record is from RNAcentral.
CCUGCCUGAAGCUGCCGGCACCAUCCGGCAAGGCUAAAUACGAGCUGGGAGACCGAUAGCGAACCAGUACUGUGAAGGAAAGGUGAAAAGAACCGCAAGAAGCGGAGUGAAAAGAGCCUGAAACCGUGCGCCUACAAGCGGUGGGAGUUCGCCUCGGCGAAUGACCACGUGCCUUUUGCAUAAUGAACCUACGAGUUGCGUCCCGCCAGCGAGCAUAAGCCCCUAGGGGGCGCAUGCGCAGCGAAAGCGAGUCUUAACAGGGCGCCGAGUUGGCGGGAGCAGACGCGAAACCGAGUGAUCUACCCAUGGGCAGGCUGAAGUCCCGAUAGUCUCGGGAUGGAGGGCCGAACCGGUUGAUGUUGAAAAAUCUUCGGAUGACCUGUGGGUAGGGGUGAAAGGCUAAUCAAACUCGGAGAUAGCUCGUACUCCCCGAAAUGUAUUUAGGUACAGCGUCGCGGAGUGUGCGCAGGAGGUAGAGCUACCGAUAGGGCUAGGGGGCCUCACCGCCU